UGGUGUUUUCGGGAACUCUGAGACAGGUGCUGCAUGGCUGUCGUCAGCUCGUGUUGUGAAAUGUUGGGUUAAGUCCCGCAACGAGCGCAACCCUUAUCCUUUGUUGCCAGCGGUCCGGCCGGGAACUCAAAGGAGACUGCCAGUGAUAAACUGGAGGAAGGUGGGGAUGACGUCAAGUCAUCAUGGCCCUUACGAGUAGGGCUACACACGUGCUACAAUGGCGCAUACAAAGAGAAGCGACCUCGCGAGAGCAAGCGGACCUCAUAAAGUGCGUCGUAGUCCGGAUUGGAGUCUGCAACUCGACUCCAUGAAGUCGGAAUCGCUAGUAAUCGUAGAUCAGAAUGCUACGGUGAAUACGUUCCCGGGUCUUGUA
This 373-nucleotide ribosomal RNA is filed under the name Enterobacter cloacae. RNAcentral describes it as "bacterial SSU rRNA". It matches the Rfam family "Bacterial small subunit ribosomal RNA", at positions 1012 to 1385 of the family's 1533-position model. Lineage: Bacteria; Pseudomonadati; Pseudomonadota; Gammaproteobacteria; Enterobacterales; Enterobacteriaceae. The record is from RNAcentral.